This 75-nucleotide antisense RNA is filed under the name Kitasatospora viridis. RNAcentral describes it as "ASpks TB sRNA". It matches the Rfam family "ASpks TB sRNA". Lineage: Bacteria; Bacillati; Actinomycetota; Actinomycetes; Kitasatosporales; Streptomycetaceae. The record is from Rfam by way of RNAcentral.
CUUGAUCGAGCCGAGCCGCAACGGCUCGCCGCCGGCCCGCUGCUGGCCGUAGGUGGCGAGCAGGGCCUGCGCCUC